GACGAACGCUGGCGGCGUGCUUAACACAUGCAAGUCGAACGGAAAGGCCCUGCUUUUGUGGGGUGCUCGAGUGGCGAACGGGUGAGUAACACGUGAGUAACCUGCCCUUGACUUUGGGAUAACUUCAGGAAACUGGGGCUAAUACCGGAUAGGAGCUCCUGCUGCAUGGUGGGGGUUGGAAAGUUUCGGCGGUUGGGGAUGGACUCGCGGCUUAUCAGCUUGUUGGUGGGGUAGUGGCUUACCAAGGCUUUGACGGGUAGCCGGCCUGGGAGGGUGACCGGCCACAUUGGGACUGAGAUACGGACCAGACUCCAACGGGAGGCAGCAGUGGGGAAUAUUGCACAAUGGGCGGAAGCCUGAUGCAGCAACGCCGCGUGCGUGAUGACGGCCUUCGGGUUGUAAACCGCUUUCGCCUGUGACGAAGCGUGAGUGACGGUAAUGGGUAAAGAAGCACCGGCUAACUACGUG
Molecule: ribosomal RNA, 468 nt
Filed under: uncultured bacterium
Lineage: Bacteria
Description: partial 16S ribosomal RNA
Rfam family: Bacterial small subunit ribosomal RNA
Source: RNAcentral